AUAAAUUGAGAGUUUGAUCCUGGCUCAGGACGAACGCUGGCGGCGUGCCUAAUACAUGCAAGUCGAACGAGAAUUUCUUACACCGAGUGCUUGCACUCACCGUAAGAAAUUCGAGUGGCGGACGGGUGAGUAACACGUGGGUAACCUGCCCAAAAGAAGGGGAUAACAUUUGGAAACAAAUGCUAAUACCGUAUAACCAUGAUGACCGCAUGGUCAUUAUGUAAAAGGUGGUUUUGCUAUCGCUUUUGGAUGGACCCGCGGCGUAUUAACUAGUUGGUAGGGUAACGGCCUACCAAGGUAAUGAUACGUAGCCGAGUUGAGAGACUGAUCGGCCACAAUGGGACUGAGACACGGCCCAUACUCCUACGGGAGGCAGCAGUAGGGAAUCUUCCACAAUGGGCGCAAGCCUGAUGGAGCAACGCCGCGUGAAUGAAGAAGGUCUUCGGAUCGUAAAAUUCUGUUGUUAGAGAAGAAUAUGAGUAAUAGUAACUGAUUAUUCACUGACGGUAUAUA
RNAcentral lists this ribosomal RNA (513 nucleotides) under Ligilactobacillus aviarius. RNAcentral's name for it is "bacterial SSU rRNA". It matches the Rfam family "Bacterial small subunit ribosomal RNA", at positions 1 to 481 of the family's 1533-position model. The record is from RNAcentral. Lineage: Bacteria; Bacillati; Bacillota; Bacilli; Lactobacillales; Lactobacillaceae.